CCAGCCGUGGUGAAUCUCUACCGCCUUUUUUCUCCUAGCAAGUCGCGACUUUCUACGCGCUCCAGUAUUUCUAUGCAAUGUUCCCACUUUUACAGCCUUAUCAAUGACUGAGUAUGCCUCUGCAAUUAGUUUUUCAAUGGGAAGGACCUCCUCUGCUUGUGCAUCGGGUUUCUUCCUCAAAUCAUCUAAUGCUUCCAACACCUUCUUCAUGCGGGUUCCAAUUUCAGACUUGCGUGCUUUAUUGUAAAUCCGCCUUUUCUCAGCUUGGCGAGCUCUCUUUUCUGCAGAAUCAGCUUUUUUAUUUGGAGCCGCUUCACAAACGAUUAAAUGCCCAAUUGGCCUUCUAACUCUGCUCAUUGACAAGCACCCUUCGUUG
This 376-nucleotide unclassified non-coding RNA is filed under the name Hevea brasiliensis (rubber tree). Lineage: Eukaryota; Viridiplantae; Streptophyta; Magnoliopsida; Malpighiales; Euphorbiaceae. The record is from RNAcentral.